RNAcentral lists this ribosomal RNA (253 nucleotides) under uncultured bacterium. RNAcentral describes it as "partial 16S ribosomal RNA". It matches the Rfam family "Bacterial small subunit ribosomal RNA", at positions 524 to 776 of the family's 1533-position model. The record is from RNAcentral.
UACGUAGGGUGCAAGCGUUAUCCGGAAUUAUUGGGCGUAAAGAGCUUGUAGGCGGUUUGUCGCGUCUGCUGUGAAAAUCCGGGGCUCAACCCCGGACUUGCAGUGGGUACGGGCAGACUAGAGUGAUGUAGGGGAGACUGGAAUUCCUGGUGUAGCGGUGAAAUGCGCAGAUAUCAGGAGGAACACCGGUGGCGAAGGCGGUUCUCUGGGCAUGACCUGACGCUGAGGAGCGAAAGUGUGGGGAGCGAACAGG